UAGUGGCGAACGGGUGAGUAACACGUGGGCAAUCUGCCCUUCACUCUGGGACAAGCCCUGGAAACGGGGUCUAAUACCGGAUAACACCUGCCUGGGCAUCUGGGUGGGUUAAAAGCUCCGGCGGUGAAGGAUGAGCCCGCGGCCUAUCAGCUUGUUGGUGAGGUAGUGGCUCACCAAGGCGACGACGGGUAGCCGGCCUGAGAGGGCGACCGGCCACACUGGGACUGAGACACGGCCCAGACUCCUACGGGAGGCAGCAGUGGGGAAUAUUGCACAAUGGGCGAAAGCCUGAUGCAGCGACGCCGCGUGAGGGAUGACGGCCUUCGGGUUGUAAACCUCUUUCAGCAGGGAAGAAGCGAGAGUGACGGUACCUGCAGAAGAAGCGCCGGCUAACUACGUGCCAGCAGCCGNGGUAAUACGUAGGGCGCAAGCGUUGUCCGGANUUAUUGGGCGUAAAGAGCUCGUAGGCGGCUUGUCACGUCGGGUGUGAAAGCCCGGGGCUUAACCCCGGGUCUGCAUUCGAUACGGGCUAGCUAGAGUGUGGUAGGGGAGA
RNAcentral lists this ribosomal RNA (553 nucleotides) under Streptomyces sp. 303H12. Its description in RNAcentral is "bacterial SSU rRNA". It matches the Rfam family "Bacterial small subunit ribosomal RNA", at positions 93 to 660 of the family's 1533-position model. Lineage: Bacteria; Bacillati; Actinomycetota; Actinomycetes; Kitasatosporales; Streptomycetaceae. The record is from RNAcentral.